CGCUACUACCGAUUGAAUGGCUUAGUGAGCCUUUGGGAUCGGCAGCUUGUACCGGCAACGAGCAGGCCGCUGAAAACUUAGGCAAACUUGGUCAUUUAGAGGAAGUAAAAGUCGUAACAAGGUU
Molecule: ribosomal RNA, 124 nt
Filed under: Ice core clone 23-4
Lineage: Eukaryota
Description: partial 18S ribosomal RNA
Rfam family: Eukaryotic small subunit ribosomal RNA
Source: RNAcentral